AACCUAGCACACCUGCGGUGUGUACCUGCGGAGGGAUCAUUACCGAGUUUACAAACUCCCAACCCUAUGUGAACCUUACCAAUCGUUGCUUCGGCGGGCUUAGCCCCCGCGCCCUCGCCGGCGCCGGGAGAAAGGCGCCCGCCGGGGACCCCAAACCCAAUGUUUUUCAUGCAGUAUUUCUGAGUGGCAAACGCAAAAAUAAAUCAAAACUUUUAGCAACGGAUCUCAGAUCGGAAGAGC
Molecule: unclassified non-coding RNA, 240 nt
Filed under: soil metagenome
Description: partial contains 5.8S ribosomal RNA, internal transcribed spacer 2, and large subunit ribosomal RNA
Source: RNAcentral